Molecule: long non-coding RNA, 222 nt
Filed under: Capsella rubella
Lineage: Eukaryota; Viridiplantae; Streptophyta; Magnoliopsida; Brassicales; Brassicaceae
Description: long non-coding RNA (CRUB_LNC003016)
Source: RNAcentral
UUAUACAUGUGUUUAUAUCGGUGUUGUUAAAAAAAUAGUAAAAUGAUCCGUACUAAACUGUGAGAUUAAUAAUAUUAUUUUUCUUUUGUAAUAUCCACUUAAACAUGUUCCGUCUUACAACCCGUAACAUGUUAAAAAAAUGGAAAAUUCAAUAAUAUUUUUGUUUAAACUUGGUGUAGAGCUAAAUACUAAUAACACUGAGAAUUUUUAAAAUUUUCAAAA